Molecule: long non-coding RNA, 439 nt
Filed under: Lathyrus oleraceus (garden pea)
Lineage: Eukaryota; Viridiplantae; Streptophyta; Magnoliopsida; Fabales; Fabaceae
Description: Pisum sativum (pea) long non-coding RNA (PSAT_LNC034220)
Source: RNAcentral
UUUUUUUCUGCAUACGCAACACAUUGAUUUGGCUUUAUUUUACCAUUGCAUCCCUUUAGUUCUUCCUAAUCUCUUUUUUUUUCAUUAGCAACACAUUAUUUUUCUGAUUUUCUUCUGUUUCAAUCAGACACGUGGCAUUUUUCCAUUGCACCCUUUAGUUCGAUUUAAUCUCUUUUUUUUCUUCAUGUUGGCUUUUUUCCAUUGCACCCCUUAAUUUUAGGUAAUCUUUUUUUUCUUACAUGUUGACUUUUUUACGUUGCACCCUUUAGUUCUACCUAAUCUUUUCUUUUUUUCUGCAUGUUGACUUUUUUCCAUUCCAUCCCUUUAGUUCUAUCUAAUCUCUGUAGUUUUAUCUAAUCUCUUUUUUUUUUCUAUUCGUUGUCUUUUUUUCAUUUUUUCCAUUGCACCCCUUUAGAUAUAUCUGAUCUCUUCUUUUUUU